AAAAAUAGUUCUCGACGUAUGAGAUUGAACACAGCGCCAUGACGGACGACGGUUUGCACAAAGACGGCUCUUCUAAUUCGGAAAAUCGAUCAGUUGAGGAUCUAAGAGCUGGUAGGAAGGUAUGAAACAUGCCUUCAAUAUGGUUGAGCAGAUCUCAUAUCUUGGAUGGAGGAAAGUCUAGUUUCUCAACAAUUCUGCCUCAUGUCUACCAACUGUAUAAGAAGGUCAAUCAUCUUGUGUAUCUGAUGGGUAAUCAUGGAAGUAUCAUCAAGUCUCACAAGAAUGGCCAUGUCUUCUCUGCUGCCAUGUACCCUAUUGUUGUAUAGCACAACAAGCUAGGUAGAAGAACCCGAAUAAGCGUCAGUCCUUAUUUCAACAUUUUAGAAAGAGGAGGAAAGGCAAAAAACAACCAGAAGAGAUCAUGUAACUCUUCUAUCCUUUAGAAGACUGUAAGAGGACCAUACUUUACUCAUGCUGAAAGGAAUUUUUUGUGGUAAGCUGAUUCUGUUCAAAGAGGAAAUUGAGUCGCAAAGUAUGAGGAACUAAUUCACAGUUCGGAAAUCAAUCAUCAAUGAGUGCUUCUUUAGAGGCUUUCUUAGAAGCAGUUGAAUUAGGACAAGAGGAAUGAUAUAUUUAUUGUCGAUUCUAUAUCUUCGUUAGGCGAGAAAGAGGUGACUACUUUAUAUUUGAAGAUUAGAGGUUGCUUUAUAUAGUGUCUGUAUAGCAUAUGGUAGUUUGCUUUGAGACCUGUUGCUGGUUUUUUAAAAGUAUGUUCUGUAUCUACGUUGAAGAUGUAUUACAAUAAAUGACAGAGGGCACAGAGUGGUG
Long non-coding RNA from Corticium candelabrum, 828 nucleotides. RefSeq lists it as uncharacterized. NCBI's taxonomy places the organism in Eukaryota, Metazoa, Porifera, Homoscleromorpha, Homosclerophorida, Plakinidae. The transcript is spliced from 5 exons. The record is from RefSeq and is a predicted model, not a curated record.